UGCAUCUUCUCAAUCCAUUGGCGCUGCAUAGGGUUGAGGGAGGACAGAUCAGCCAACAUAAUUUCUUUUUUCUCUUUGAGAAGCUUAGUUUCUGCAAUCUUUUCUUCAUUUGCCACCCUCUUCUUCUCUAGCUCUAGUGCAGCCAGGAACCUCUCCUCCUUGGACUUUUCCUUUUCCUUGUCUAACACCUCUUUCUUUGCCAUCAUCUUGUCCAAAGCUUCCAUGCAAGCCUCGCCACCACCACGUCUAAGGUUUUGUUUUGCCUUCUUUAUCCCUUCUGGCCUUUUCUUUGGUGCGGUUUCUUCAACACCAGCAUCUUCUAGUUCAUUAUUUUGAGUCUCUUCUUCCCCCCUCGGCCUCUUGUCCUUGGUGGAAGUCUUCUUUUUUUUUUCUUGGCAGAUUGUUUGUCUUUCUCAAGCUCAGCA
This 425-nucleotide long non-coding RNA is filed under the name Sorghum bicolor (sorghum). Its description in RNAcentral is "long non-coding RNA (SBIC_LNC003431)". The record is from RNAcentral. Lineage: Eukaryota; Viridiplantae; Streptophyta; Magnoliopsida; Poales; Poaceae.